GGGCUUAUGAUGAUAUAAUACAAAAUAUAUCUUAGCGGAUUUCAGUGAGAUAAUUCAUCAAUGAUCUGAUUGUUACACACACUGAAGCUC
Molecule: small nucleolar RNA, 90 nt
Filed under: Ipomoea nil (Japanese morning glory)
Lineage: Eukaryota; Viridiplantae; Streptophyta; Magnoliopsida; Solanales; Convolvulaceae
Description: Small nucleolar RNA R11/Z151
Rfam family: Small nucleolar RNA R11/Z151
About the family: snoR11/Z151 is a member of the C/D class of snoRNA which contain the C (UGAUGA) and D (CUGA) box motifs. Most of the members of the box C/D family function in directing site-specific 2'-O-methylation of substrate RNAs.
Source: Rfam by way of RNAcentral